AGCUAGAUUGACGAGAAAGUUUAUUUUGCACAUGGUCUUUCCUGGUUUUGUCCUUGUAGCAAGAAGUACUUCUUUUAUAACAAUAUCAGCUUUGCUCUGUUGUGUGCAAUGAUGUCAUUUAGUCAUUGUAGUUGCCCAUAUCGACGAUGGUUUAUUUCAGCCUCGAGGACCUUGCUGGUACCAGAUCCAACGGGGAGGAGAUUGCUGAGGCGGCUGAUUCCUAUGGGCUAUGUGAAAUUAAUGGUUGACUUGAUUGAGGAGUUAUGAGCUUUCUCAAAUCCUUAAGAGGUCGAUCGUGGAGCCACUCGCCCGCCGCCGAGGUACGAGAUCGCCGCCACUGACAACCGAGAGGAGCCGCCGCCAGACCUCAUCGCG
This is a long non-coding RNA of Triticum dicoccoides, 375 nucleotides long. RefSeq lists it as uncharacterized. Lineage: Eukaryota; Viridiplantae; Streptophyta; Magnoliopsida; Poales; Poaceae. The record is from RefSeq and is a predicted model, not a curated record. The transcript is spliced from 3 exons.